UGUGAGGAUACAACUGGGAACUAAAGCUGGAAGAUGCCAGACAUUCAGCAGGGAGUUCCCUCAUCAGCAGCUGGCUAACUGGGGAACUGAAAGUCACAAGGCGCUCGUUUCUGAUAACUCCAUGAAAAUUCACUCUGGGUCAGAAAUCAAUCUUUGGAGUUCUGAACAUGCAGCUUUUCUCAUGGGCCUUUUGGAGAACAAUCAGCUACUCAGCCAUCAGAGCCUUUUUUGCUGGAUGGCAGGCAGGAACUGACAGCAAACCAUCGUCUCUACAACACGCAGAAGAUCAGCACCAAGUCUCCAUUCUCCGAAAACAUGUGUCCAUGCAGCUCUCCCAGGGGAGGUCUGCGCUGCAGUGGAAGGCCCCAGGAGCGUGGGAGCCAGCUCAUCGCAUGAAGGAAACACAGAGUUGUACCUCCAGAUGCCAGGCGGAGCGGCGACGUGACGCACGGUGGACGAGGAGCCAGGAUGCCCAGCUCUGCUACCAACACAGAGUGGGAAUUUGCACACCUCACAUGGUGUCAGUUUCCAAAUGCUGCUGUAAUCAAUUUCCACAAAGUGGUGGCUUAGAAAAACAGACAUGUAUUCGCUGACAGUUCUGGAGCCCAGAAGCCUGAAACCAACGUGAGGGUUCUAGGGGAAGAUCCUCAUUUGCCCCCUCCCAAUUUGGUAGUUCUGGGUGUUCCUUGGCUUGUGGACUCAUCACUCCAAUCUCUGCAUCUGUCUUCACAUUGCUUUCCCUGCUUCUCUGUGUGUCCAUUCUCUGCAUGUCUAAUUUGUAAGGAUAUGAGUGAUUGCAUUUAGGGCCUACUUGGGUUAUCCAGGGAGAUCCCCUCAUCUCAAGAAAAUUGAUCUAAUCAUGUCUGCAAAGACCCUUGAUCCAGAUAACAUUCACAGGUUCUAGGGAUUUGAUUGGGAUAUCUUUGGGGUGAGGGGGGAUAUUUUUCAGCCUGCCACACCCACUUCCCUUCUUCUGGCCUCUUCCAGAAAAUGAUGGCCCCUCUGAGCCCCGAGUUCCCCUUCAGCUUUGAAGUUCUGCAGGUGAUCCUCAGACAGCCUAGCCUGCAUUGCCAAGUUCACGACAAUGUUAUCUCAAUAGAGUACCUGAUAUUUUUUCAAAGCACUUUCCCAUCUGUUAUUUUGCUUCAUGCUCCUGAUCACCUCUCGGGGCACACAGGGCAAUUAAUAUUAAACCCAUUUAAUUGAUGAAACAACAGAGGCCCAAAAACUCCUAACUCACUUUCUCCUUGAGUUAGUCAGCUAAUGGGAACCAGGAGCAGGCCAGGUGGUUUCCCAGGGCAUGCUUUUUUUUUUUCUCUCUCUCUUUCAUUGUAUAUAGCCUUUCACCACCACAGGCUUUGUUCUGGAAGCCCAGGAAGGUAGGCAAGUCAAAGCUUGUCAUGUAGAUCCAAGCCCACCCUGAAUCCCUGAUUCAUAUCCCCUGGAGAGUGUGGCAGGAACUUCAUUUGCACUCCCUGUGGUCCCAGGUGGCAGAAAUGAGGAUGAAGCCAAGUGUUUGGAGUUCUUGCGAAGAAAGAUACAACAGCCACACAAGGUAUUAUUAACUUUAUUACUUGUCAGGAAGAGGUGGGGGAAGCAGUUAAGAUUCGGCUAGAUGAGAGGUGAGUGUACUGCAUUACAAUCUCUGGAGGGUGUGGUGGGCAUAUGAGCUGGAAAGGACCAUUAUUUAUUUACUACUUUUGUUAAGUGCCUGUAAUGUGCUGGGUGCUAUGCUGGAUGUGUGUGUAACACAGACACAUAAACCAUUCAGGGUCAACCUUGCGUGGGUGGGAGGAGGUUAAAAGCACUUGCAUCUUCUUCUCCCUGAAAACAGAAACAUCUUCCUCCUUGGCCUACCAUGGUGCCAGCAAUCUCCAGCAUUAGCGAUGGCUCCUUGGGGGUAACCUGCAGAAGCUUCUUAACUGGGUUAAGGCAUCUUAUUACCUUGCAGGAGUAAGGCAAUCGCCAGCUCACUGAUAGUACACAAUGAUUUCGCUCAUUCCAUCCACUCUUGGCCAUUGGUGCAGCAGGAAGGGCCUUGGGGUCCUCCAAUUUGGACAGUGGGGAGGACUUGGCCCUGGGCUGACAGAUUGCUGCUUGGCAGGUUUAUGGGAGCCAGGCGUCAGCAUGGUGUGACGUGGGGAGGCAAGAGUCAAUGCCAAUGCAGGCAGCCCCCUCCCACCAAGCAAAGCGGCUUACAGACUUCGGAGAGGAAACAAAACAUCUACAUGCAAAUGUUGAACCAGAUUUCAGAGCAAGAGAGCAACUUCAAGAGCCAAGGCAGUUCCAACUACCAGGUGUUUAAUACCUUUUCAGCUUGGGUGGAUCAUGGAUCUCUUUGAGAAACUGAGGAGACAGUCUUGGAUUCUCUCUCUGUCUCUCUCUCUCUCCCCCACCUCCCCCUCUCUUGCACCUUCUUCUCCCUGCAAACAAAA
RNAcentral lists this long non-coding RNA (2435 nucleotides) under Homo sapiens (human). RNAcentral describes it as "HSALNT0370759". The record is from RNAcentral. Lineage: Eukaryota; Metazoa; Chordata; Mammalia; Primates; Hominidae.